RNAcentral lists this ribosomal RNA (467 nucleotides) under uncultured bacterium. Its description in RNAcentral is "partial 16S ribosomal RNA". It matches the Rfam family "Bacterial small subunit ribosomal RNA", at positions 339 to 795 of the family's 1533-position model. The record is from RNAcentral.
CUACGGGGGGCUGCAGUCGAGAAUAGUCUACAAUGGACGAAAGUCUGAUAGUGCGACGCCGCGUGGAUGAAGAAGCAUUUCGGUGUGUAAAGUCCUUUUCUGUGUGAGCAAUGUUUUCCAGGUUAAUAGCUUGGAGAAAGCGAUAUUAACACAGGAAUAAGCUCCGGCUAACUCCGUGCCAGCAGCCGCGGUAACACGGGGGGGAGCAAGCGUUGUCCGGAAUUACUAGGCGUAAAGGGUAAGUAGGCGGAAUUGUAAGUCAGAUGUUAAAGGCACCGGCUCAACCGGUGUAUGGCAUUUGAUACUGUAAUUCUAGAGUAAGGUGGGGGAAGACGGAAUUCCUGGUGUAGCGGUGGAAUGCGCAGAUAUCAGGAGGAACACCAGAGGCGCAGGCGGUCUUCUAUACCAUUACUGACGCUCAAUUACGAAGGUGUGGGUAUCAAACAGGAUUAGAUACCCGCGUAGUC